UGCUAGGGGAGCGUUAGCUGAGAGAGUCCCAACGGACGAAGACCCUUAUUACUUGAACCGGAUAAUACCAGCGUAAGGAAGCAAUUU
This 87-nucleotide non-coding RNA is filed under the name pig gut metagenome. The record is from RNAcentral.